Molecule: unclassified non-coding RNA, 575 nt
Filed under: Aspergillus calidoustus
Lineage: Eukaryota; Fungi; Ascomycota; Eurotiomycetes; Eurotiales; Aspergillaceae
Description: sequence contains 18S rRNA gene, ITS1, 5.8S rRNA gene, ITS2, 28S rRNA gene
Rfam family: 5.8S ribosomal RNA (bases 200-353)
Source: RNAcentral
UCGUAACAAGGUUUCCGUAGGUGAACCUGCGGAAGGAUCAUUACCGAGUGCAGGUCUGCCCCCGGGCAGGCCUAACCUCCCACCCGUGAAUACCUGACCAACGUUGCUUCGGCGGUGCGCCCCCCCGGGGGUAGCCGCCGGAGACCACACCGAACCUCCUGUCUUUAGUGUUGUCUGAGCUUGAUAGCAAACCUAUUAAAACUUUCAACAAUGGAUCUCUUGGUUCCGGCAUCGAUGAAGAACGCAGCGAACUGCGAUAAGUAAUGUGAAUUGCAGAAUUCAGUGAAUCAUCGAGUCUUUGAACGCACAUUGCGCCCCCUGGCAUUCCGGGGGGCAUGCCUGUCCGAGCGUCAUUGCUGCCCUUCAAGCCCGGCUUGUGUGUUGGGUCGUCGUCCCCCCCGGGGGACGGGCCCGAAAGGCAGCGGCGGCACCGCGUCCGGUCCUCGAGCGUAUGGGGCUUUGUCACCCGCUCGAUUAGGGCCGGCCGGGCGCCAGCCGGCGUCUCCAACCUUCUAUUUUACCAGGUUGACCUCGGAUCAGGUAGGGAUACCCGCUGAACUUAAGCAUAUCAAUAA